RNAcentral lists this ribosomal RNA (499 nucleotides) under uncultured bacterium. RNAcentral describes it as "bacterial SSU rRNA". It matches the Rfam family "Bacterial small subunit ribosomal RNA", at positions 791 to 1288 of the family's 1533-position model. The record is from RNAcentral.
UAGUCCACGCCCUAAACGAUGAAUGCUAGUCGUUAGAGGUUUUACACCUUUAGGGACGCAGUUAACACAUUAAGCAUUCCGCCUGGGGAGUACGGUCGCAAGAUUAAAACUCAAAGGAAUAGACGGGGACCCGCACAAGUGGUGGAGCAUGUGGUUUAAUUCGAAGAUACGCGAAGAACCUUACCCAGACUUGAUAUCCUUGGAAUCUUUCAGAGAUGAGAGAGUGCUAGCUUGCUAGAGCCAAGUGACAGGUGCUGCACGGCUGUCGUCAGCUCGUGUCGUGAGAUGUUGGGUUAAGUCCCCGCAACGAGCGCAACCCUCGUCGUUAGUUGCUAACAGUUCGGCUGAGAACUCUAACGAGACUGCCUUCGCAAGGAGGAGGAAGGUGGGGACGACGUCAAGUCAUCAUGGCCCUUAUGUCUGGGGCGACACACGUGCUACAAUGGGGUGUACAAAGUGAAGCAAUACCGCGAGGUGGAGCAAAUCACAAAACAUCNCU